AGUGAACGCUGGCGGUAGGCCUAACACAUGCAAGUCGAACGGCAGCACAGGAGAGCUUGCUCUCUGGGUGGCGAGUGGCGGACGGGUGAGGAAUACAUCGGAAUCUACUUUUUCGUGGGGGAUAACGUAGGGAAACUUACGCUAAUACCGCAUACGACCUGCGGGUGAAAGCAGGGGACCUUCGGGCCUUGCGCGAUUGAAUGAGCCGAUCUCGGAUUAGCUAGUUGGCGGGGUAAAGGCCCACCAAGGCGACGAUCCGUAGCUGGUCUGAGAGGAUGAUCAGCCACACUGGAACUGAGACACGGUCCAGACUCCUACGGGAGGCAGCAGUGGGGAAUAUUGGACAAUGGGCGCAAGCCUGAUCCAGCCAUACCGCGGGGGUGAAGAAGGCCUUCGGGUUGUAAAGCCCUUUUGUUGGGAAAGAAAUCCAGCUGGCUAAUACCCGGUUGGGAUGACGGUACCCAAAGAAUAAGCACCGGCUAACUACGUGCCAGCAGCCGCCGUAA
RNAcentral lists this ribosomal RNA (506 nucleotides) under uncultured bacterium. RNAcentral's name for it is "partial 16S ribosomal RNA". It matches the Rfam family "Bacterial small subunit ribosomal RNA", at positions 29 to 523 of the family's 1533-position model. The record is from RNAcentral.